Chinchilla lanigera (long-tailed chinchilla) is the source of this 575-nucleotide long non-coding RNA. RefSeq lists it as uncharacterized. NCBI's taxonomy places the organism in Eukaryota, Metazoa, Chordata, Mammalia, Rodentia, Chinchillidae. The transcript has 3 exons. The record is from RefSeq and is a predicted model, not a curated record.
CAAAAACCAGAAGAGAUGGUAAUUUCAAUAGAAGCCGUGAUGCUAACAGUCCCAUCUCAAGAAGCCAGACAAACGGGACUCACAUACAGGAAGAGGUUUGUGCGGGAGUCUGCGGGUCCUCGUGAGUAGGCCGUGCUUCUGGAAGGGUUCUCCAGGCCGGUGGAGCUCCCACCGGAUGCUCUUGCAUCUCUUCCACCUGGAACGUGAAAUUCUUCAGUCCUUCCUGCUUUACUUUAUUGAGGUACCGGGAUCAUUUGCAGUUCUGAUCAAUGAGCUUUUUGCAGAACUCUAUUCCAUAACAUGACCAAACAAAGGCUUCAAGUCCUAGCAGGACCAGUGAAUACUGCAGUUUCAUUGGUGGGGUCUCCAUCUUGGCAAGCGCAUCCCACUUAUUACAACAGAGUGAGCACAUGCAGGGGGCGCUGGGCACUCCGCACUGCACUGUGCCGCACAGCUCACAGCAGUGCCUCACUGUUGUCAGUGGGUCAAGAACAUGCUGGAAGAUUCGUUAUGUGUAAGAACUUCUAGAAAAUAGAUAUUUAAGCUAUGAAAGUAAUUAGAGCUUGCUGUAAUAA